Molecule: ribosomal RNA, 1555 nt
Filed under: Salmonella enterica subsp. enterica serovar Typhimurium
Lineage: Bacteria; Pseudomonadati; Pseudomonadota; Gammaproteobacteria; Enterobacterales; Enterobacteriaceae
Description: partial 23S ribosomal RNA
Rfam family: Bacterial large subunit ribosomal RNA
Source: RNAcentral
GUGAUUCGUCACACUAUCAUUAACUGAAUCCAUAGGUUAAUGAGGCGAACCGGGGGAACUGAAACAUCUAAGUACCCCGAGGAAAAGAAAUCAACCGAGAUUCCCCCAGUAGCGGCGAGCGAACGGGGAGGAGCCCAGAGCCUGAAUCAGCAUGUGUGUUAGUGGAAGCGUCUGGAAAGGCGCGCGAUACAGGGUGACAGCCCCGUACACAAAAGCGCAUGUGCUGUGAGCUCGAUGAGUAGGGCGGGACACGUGGUAUCCUGUCUGAAUAUGGGGGGACCAUCCUCCAAGGCUAAAUACUCCUGACUGACCGAUAGUGAACCAGUACCGUGAGGGAAAGGCGAAAAGAACCCCGGCGAGGGGAGUGAAAAAGAACCUGAAACCGUGUACGUACAAGCAGUGGGAGCCCCACCACUAAGCCAGUGGUGAACUCCACAUCCGCAUCCUUUGCUGAGGAUACGGUUAACGGAGCGAAAGCGACGUUCAACCGCAAAACAAGCAGAGGGGGCUUAGUGGUGGGGUGACUGCGUACCUUUUGUAUAAUGGGUCAGCGACUUAUAUUCUGUAGCAAGGUUAACCGAAUAGGGGAGCCGGAGGGAAACCGAGUCUUAAUUGGGCGUUAAGUUGCAGGGUAUAGACCCGAAACCCGGUGAUCUAGCCAUGGGCAGGUUGAAGGUUGGGUAACACUAACUGGAGGACCGAACCGACUAAUGUUGAAAAAUUAGCGGAUGACCUGUGGCUGGGGGUGAAAGGCCAAUCAAACCGGGAGAUAGCUGGUUCUCCCCGAAAGCUAUUUAGGUAGCGCCUCGUGAAUUCAUCUCCGGGGGUAGAGCACUGUUUCGGCUAGGGGGCCAUCCCGGCUUACCAACCCGAUGCAAACUGCGAAUACCGGAGAAUGUUAUCACGGGAGACACACGGCGGGUGCUAACGUCCGUCGUGAAGAGGGAAACAACCCAGACCGCCAGCUAAGGUCCCAAAGUCAUGGUUAAGUGGGAAACGAUGUGGGAAGGCCCAGACAGCCAGGAUGUUGGCUUAGAAGCAGCCAUCAUUUAAAGAAAGCGUAAUAGCUCACUGGUCGAGUCGGCCUGCGCGGAAGAUGUAACGGGGCUAAACCAUGCACCGAAGCUGCGGCAGCGAACGUAUCACCCAAGACAACUUUACGGAGUUGACGAUUGACGGAGCGAAGCGACGUCAAAGCGUUCAUUAAAGUCGAGUUGGCUUAGGGAUACGUUCGUUGGGUAGGGGAGCGUUCUGUAAGCCUGUGAAGGUGUGUCGUGAGGCAUGCUGGAGGUAUCAGAAGUGCGAAUGCUGACAUAAGUAACGAUAAAGCGGGUGAAAAGCCCGCUCGCCGGAAGACCAAGGGUUCCUGUCCAACGUUAAUCGGGGCAGGGUGAGUCGACCCCUAAGGCGAGGCCGAAAGGCGUAGUCGAUGGGAAACGGGUUAAUAUUCCCGUACUUGGUGUUACUGCGAAGGGGGGACGGAGAAGGCUAUGUUGGCCGGGCGACGGUUGUCCCGGUUUAAGCGUGUAGGUGUGUGUUCCAGGUAAAUCCGGUU